AUUGAACGCUGGCGGCAUGCUUUACACAUUCAAGUCGAACGGCAGCGCGGGCUUCGGCCUGGCGGCGAGUGGCGAACGGGUGAGUAAUGCAUCGGAACGUGCCCAGUAGUGGGGGAUAGCCCGGCGAAAGCCGGAUUAAUACCGCAUACGACCUGAGGGUGAAAGCGGGGGACCGAAAGGCCUCGCGCUAUUGGAGCGGCCGAUGUCGGAUUAGCUAGUUGGUGGGGUAAAGGCUUACCAAGGCGACGAUCCGUAGCUGGUCUGAGAGGACGACCAGCCACACUGGGACUGAGACACGGCCCAGACUCCUACGGGAGGCAGCAGUGGGGAAUUUUGGACAAUGGGGGCAACCCUGAUCCAGCCAUGCCGCGUGCGGGAAGACGGCCUUCGGGUUGUAAACCGCUUUUGUUCGGGAAGAAAUCCUCUGGGCUAAUACCCCGGGGGGAUGACGGUACCGGAAGAAUAAGCACCGGCUAACUACGUG
Molecule: ribosomal RNA, 484 nt
Filed under: uncultured bacterium
Lineage: Bacteria
Description: partial 16S ribosomal RNA
Rfam family: Bacterial small subunit ribosomal RNA
Source: RNAcentral